UGACCUCUGACCUCAAAUCAGGUAGGACUACCCGCUGAACUUAAGCAUAUCAAUAAGCGGAGGAAAAGGAAACCAACCA
This 79-nucleotide ribosomal RNA is filed under the name basidiomycete sp. CB2. Its description in RNAcentral is "partial large subunit ribosomal RNA". It matches the Rfam family "Eukaryotic large subunit ribosomal RNA", at positions 1 to 71 of the family's 3401-position model. Lineage: Eukaryota; Fungi; Basidiomycota. The record is from RNAcentral.